This 491-nucleotide ribosomal RNA is filed under the name uncultured bacterium. RNAcentral describes it as "partial 16S ribosomal RNA". It matches the Rfam family "Bacterial small subunit ribosomal RNA", at positions 29 to 506 of the family's 1533-position model. The record is from RNAcentral.
AGUGAACGCUGGCGGUAGGCCUAACACAUGCAAGUCGAACGGCAGCACAGUAAGAGCUUGCUCUUACGGGUGGCGAGUGGCGGACGGGUGAGGAAUACAUCGGAAUCUACUUUUUCGUGGGGGAUAACGUAGGGAAACUUACGCUAAUACCGCAUACGACCUACGGGUGAAAGCAGGGGAUCUUCGGACCUUGCGCGAUUGAAUGAGCCGAUGUGGGAGUAGCUAGUUGGCGGGGUAAAGGCCCACCAAGGCGACGAUCCGUAGCUGGUCUGAGAGGAGGUAGAGCCACAGUGAAGCUGAGACACGGUCCAGACUCCUACGGGAGGCAGCAGUGGGGAAUAUUGGACAAUGGGCGCAAGCCUGAUCCAGCCACACCGCGUGGGUGAAGAAGGCCUUCGGGUUGUAAAGCCCUUUUGUUGGGAAAGAAAAGCAGCAGGUUAAUACCCCGCUGUUCGGACGGUACCCAAAGAAUAAGCACCGGCUAACUUCGU